This 494-nucleotide ribosomal RNA is filed under the name uncultured bacterium. Its description in RNAcentral is "partial 16S ribosomal RNA". It matches the Rfam family "Bacterial small subunit ribosomal RNA", at positions 28 to 507 of the family's 1533-position model. The record is from RNAcentral.
GACGAACGCUGGCGGCGCGCUUAACACAUGCAAGUCGAACGGAAAGGCCUGCUUUCCCUUGUGGAUUGCGGGUACUCGCGUGGCGAACGGGUGAGUAACACGUGAGUGAUCUGCCCCCAACUUGGGUAUAAGCCUGGGAAACUGGGUCUAAUUCCCGAUAGGACUGCAGGGUGGUGCCUGUGGUGGAAAACGAUUUUCUAGUGGUUGGGGCUGAGCUCGCGGCCUAUCAGCUUGUUGGUGGGGUAAUGGCCUACCAAGGCGGCGACGGGUAGCCGGCCUGAGAGGGUGGACGGCCGCAUUGGGACUGGGAUACGGCCCAGCCUCCGACGGGAGGCAGCAGUGGGUAAUAGUGCACAAUGGGCGGAAGCCUGAUGCAGCGACGCCGCGUGGGGGAUGACGGCCUUCGGGUUGUAAACUCCUUUCGACCGCGAGGAAGCCACCUGGUUGGAAGGGUGGUGACGGUAGUGGUAGAAGAAGCACCGGCUAACUACGUG